RNAcentral lists this ribosomal RNA (476 nucleotides) under uncultured bacterium. Its description in RNAcentral is "bacterial SSU rRNA". It matches the Rfam family "Bacterial small subunit ribosomal RNA", at positions 311 to 804 of the family's 1533-position model. The record is from RNAcentral.
CAUUGGGACUGAGACACGGCCCAGACUCCUACGGGAGGCAGCAGUGGGGAAUAUUGCACAAUGGGGGAAACCCUGACGCAGCGACGCCGCGUGAAGGAAGAAGUAUCUCGGUAUGUAAACUUCUAUCAGCAGGGAAGAAAAUGACGGUACCUGACUAAGAAGCCCCGGCUAACUACGUGCCAGCAGCCGCGGUAAUACGUAGGGGGCAAGCGUUAUCCGGAUUUACUGGGUGUAAAGGGAGCGUAGACGGAAGAGCAAGUCUGAUGUGAAAGGCUGGGGCUUAACCCCAGGACUGCAUUGGAAACUGUUUUUCUUGAGUGCCGGAGAGGUAAGCGGAAUUCCUAGUGUAGCGGUGAAAUGCGUAGAUAUUAGGAGGAACACCAGUGGCGAAGGCGGCUUACUGGACGGUAACUGACGUUGAGGCUUGAAAGCGUGGGGAGCAAACAGGAUUACAUACCCUGGUAGUCCACGCCGUA